AGAGUUUGAUCCUGGCUCAGAACGAACGCUGGCGGCAUGCCUAACACAUGCAAGUCGAACGCUUUUGGGGUUUCGGCCUCAAGGGAGUGGCGCACGGGUGAGUAGCGCGUGGGAACCUGCCCUGUUGUGGGGGAUAACCGAGGGAAACUUCGGCUAAUACCGCAUGCGCCCGGGGAAACCCGGGGAAAGAUUUAUCGCAGCAGGAGGGGCCCGCGUCGGAUUAGCUAGUUGGUGGGGUAACGGCCUACCAAGGCAUCGAUCCGUAGCUGGUCUGAGAGGAUGAUCAGCCACACUGGGACUGAGACACGGCCCAGACUCCUACGGGAGGCAGCAGUGGGGAAUAUUGGACAAUGGGCGCAAGCCUGAUCCAGCAAUGCCGCGUGAGUGAUGAAGGCCUUAGGGUUGUAAAGCUCUUUCGCCCGCGACGAUGAUGACGGUAGCGGGAGAAGAAGCCCCGGCUAACUUCGUGCCAGCAGCCGCGGUAAUACGAAGGGGGCGAGCGUUGUUCGGAUUUACUGGGCGUAAAGGGCGCGUAGGCGGCGGACCAAGUCGAGUGUGAAAGCCCCGGGCUCAACCUGGGAGGUGCGCUCGAGACUGGUUGGCUGGAGUUCGGGAGAGGAGCGUGGAAUUCCCAGUGUAGAGGUGAAAUUCGUAGAUAUUGGGAAGAACACCGGUGGCGAAGGCGGCGCUCUGGACCGAGACUGACGCUGAGGCGCGAAGGCGUGGGGAGCAAACAGGAUUAGAUACCCCGGUAGUCC
Molecule: ribosomal RNA, 758 nt
Filed under: uncultured bacterium
Lineage: Bacteria
Description: bacterial SSU rRNA
Rfam family: Bacterial small subunit ribosomal RNA
Source: RNAcentral